This is an RNA transcript of Malus domestica (apple), 2327 nucleotides long. RefSeq lists it as uncharacterized. NCBI's taxonomy places the organism in Eukaryota, Viridiplantae, Streptophyta, Magnoliopsida, Rosales, Rosaceae. The record is from RefSeq and is a predicted model, not a curated record.
ACUUUUCCAAAUUUCCCAUUCGCCUCAUCGUUCUCAUGGCGUAAGUCGGUGAUAGAGGAGGCAAACUGUAACUACCAAGGGGGUUAGGGCUCCUCUCAGGUUCGCAACUCGACUAGUCGACCCUCGCAUUCGAAUCGAAUCCGGUGGAACGAUGUGGCACGAAGCCAGGAGGUCGGAGCGGAAGGUCCACGACAUGAUGGACGCCGCUCGUAAACGAGCUCAAAGACGUGCCGUUUUCCUGGCCAAGCGCCGCGGCGACCCCCAGCAGUCGAUCCAGGUCGUCGGCUCUCGCUGCCGCAUGUGCCGCGAUGACGGCCUCUACCAAGCCGCCGAGGACCAGCAAGGCCUGAUUCCUUGGAACGGGAAGCAGGAUGUUUUGAUUGAUAGAUUUGAUUGGCGAGCUCUGCUCGAUUUUAUUCGAGAUACGCCGCACUUGCGUGCUCAAGAACAGUCCGAAGAAGAGGAGGAAUUAGAAGAGUGUGUUAAUUUUGAGUGUUAUCGGGAUUUAAUUAAGCAUCGUCGUAGAGGAUAUAGUGAUGAUGAGGGUUUGCUACAUGUGGAACAAGAGAUAGAGGCCAAGUUUACUGCCCCGUUUGCUCCUGACAGGUCUCAGGCGCAACAACCUUCUGCUGUUAAGGGUUCUUAUUCGCAGGUGGGGUUCUCUUAUGAAGGGAAUGGAAAAGAUGAGGCCCAGUUUUCGGACUCUGAUGAUAAUGAUGAAGAUGAUGACGAAGAUGAGGAUGAGGAUGAUUUCAACAGUGAUGACAGCAGUGAUGAAGGAAUGGAUAAAAUAGCAAAAGAGUUUGGAAUAAAAAGAUAUGGUUGGCUUGUUUACAUGGAUAAGAAAGCUAAGGAGGAGGAGAAACGGCAAAAAGAAGUGAUCAAAGGCGAUCCUGCAAUUAGGAAACUAAGUCGUAAGGAAAGAAGGAAGGCUUCUCAGAUAGAAAGGGAGAGAGAAAGAGAAACUGCACGGGUAACUGGAACUCGGGUGCUCCACCAUGACCCGUACCGUGAAACUAGACGAAGUCCAACAUAUGAAGCUUAUCCUCGCCCAAGAAGAUCAAGAUCUCGAUCAUAUUCACCAUCAUACUCACGGAGAUAUCCUCGUGGACGACAUUCUGAUGAUGGUCAUCGAAGCAAACCAACAAUUGCUAAAAUCGAAUAUAUUACUGAAUUUGGGGGAUCCGGGGACAAGGAUGGAUCAAAGCGUGAAGGGUUCUCUCCACCAUCGUCUCCUUCCUCACAGGCCAAUGUGUUAAACCGGCCCUCAACUGGUCUCAUACUUGAGGCUCUGCAUAUUGAUCCUGCAUCCGGUGCAUCCCUUGAGAAGGAUAAGGGUGCUAAAUUGGUGAAACCACCAGCAAGUAGAUCAUCAGCAUUAGCUAAGUUAACUAAGGGAAGUACUUCUGUUGGGCCGUUGAAGCAGCAACCAGUGGAGAAGAAAGAAACUCCUCAAGAACGACUUAAAAGGAUUAUGAGCAAGCAACUGAACAAACAAAUUAAGAAAGAUACUGCUGCUGAAAUAGCUAAAAAGCGAGAGCAGGAACGCCAGAGGCUGGAAAAACUUGCAGAAACAAGCCGAUUAAGUCGAUCUAGGCAUCGUAGCCGCAGUAGGAGCUAUAGCCGCUCUCCUCCAAGAAGACACCAACGUGGUAGAAGUCCGAGAAGGAAGAGUUCCCUAAGACGUUAUUCCCGGUCUCAUUCUAGAUCUCGUUCCCGGUCUAGCUCCCGCUCUCGAACCCGUAAUCGUUCACGAACUUACUCCCGCUCACCAAGGUGACCCCACUGUGUAUCUUUUCCUUAUGUUGCCUGGGGCCUAUUGGUACUCAUGGGGAUUGUUACCGAGAGCGGACCAGCUUACAGGGUUAGGAGCCGUUCAAGAUAUUGAUGGAAAAAGAGUUCAGGAAGUUCUUCCUACAGUUGUGGAUUUCACGUUUGUGGUGGUUGUUUGGAUAGUUCGAGAGUCAUGUUUGACAUAUCAUUUGAUCGCUUGAAGAUGACGCCUGUUUCUAGCUCCGGGAGGAUGCUACAAUAUUGUCUUGUAUAGAUCUCCCGUGGAGGCUUCGAUCUCCUCUUUGGCGCUUGGGUUGAUGGUGGCGGUGGUUGUAGGGAGAUAGAAGAAGUUGCUAGGGUUUCCAUGUAUGUAUGUUUUUUUUUUCUUUUUCUUUUUCUUCUUGUAUGGGCUCCAAUUUCUUUUUGGGCACAGGCUUACUUUGUAUUUGUUUGUAUGGAGAGUCCUUUCUUUUGUUUUGUGCUUACUUUUGUAUUCGGUACCCUUUUUUUGUAGUCUUGUUCUGUUGGUAAUGAAGUUAUUUGACCUUAAAAAA